UACGUAGGGUCCGAGCGUUGUCCGGAAUUACUGGGCGUAAAGAGCUCGUAGGUGGUUUGUCGCGUUGUUCGUGAAAACUCACAACUCAAUUGUGGGCGUGCGGGCGAUACGGGCAGACUGGAGUACUGCAGGGGAGACUGGAAUUCCUGGUGUAGCGGUGGAAUGCGCAGAUAUCAGGAGGAACACCGAUGGCGAAGGCAGAUCACUGGCCCGAUACUGACGCUGAGGUGCGAAAGCGUGGGGAGCAAACAGG
Molecule: ribosomal RNA, 253 nt
Filed under: uncultured bacterium
Lineage: Bacteria
Description: partial 16S ribosomal RNA
Rfam family: Bacterial small subunit ribosomal RNA
Source: RNAcentral